AUUGAAACACUGGUUUCUAUACGAUCACCAAAAUUAAGCAAUGUUGAGCCUGGUCAGUACCUAUAUGAGUGACCACUUGGGAAUACAAGAUGCUGUAA
This is a non-coding RNA of Acanthosepion pharaonis, 98 nucleotides long. The record is from the annotation of a GenBank genome assembly. Lineage: Eukaryota; Metazoa; Mollusca; Cephalopoda; Sepiida; Sepiidae.